UGUGGAUAGCUCAGUCAGUAGAGCAUGAAAUUUAAAAUCUCAGGGUCGUGGGUUCAAGCCCCAUGUUGGAAA
Molecule: non-coding RNA, 72 nt
Organism: Podarcis lilfordi (Lilford's wall lizard)
Lineage: Eukaryota; Metazoa; Chordata; Lepidosauria; Squamata; Lacertidae
Source: the annotation of a GenBank genome assembly